ACGCCUGUAAUCCCAGCAUUCUGAGAGGCCGAGGCAGGUGGAUCAUCUGAGGUCAGGAGUUCCAGACCAGCCUGGCCAACACAGUGAAACCCCAUCUCUACUAAAAAUACAAUAAUUAGCUGGGGGUGGUGGCGCACGCAACAUGUUUCUUUGCCAUAUUUUGAGAUGGCCCUGCAAAGCUGUUCUUUGUGGGGGAAAAUUUGCAUCUGUAAAGAAUCUCUAUUAACAAAGCUAGAUCUUUUUCUUCUGGACCCUCCCAAUCCUAAAGAGAUUAACUAAGAGAACUUUGGUCUCCACAAUCUUUAUCUUAACCUGAACAUUCCCUUUCUACCAACCUCAGGUCUUUAGACAUAUUCAACUAAUUGUCAACCAGAAAAUUUUAAAUUCACCUGUAACCUGGAACACCCCACCCCGACCAACUUGGUUUGAGUUGUCCCACCUUUCUGGAUCAAACCAAUGUAUUUCUUAAAUGUAUUUGAUUGAUGUCUCAUGCCUCUCUAAAAUGUGUAAGACCAAGCUGCGCCCC
RNAcentral lists this long non-coding RNA (526 nucleotides) under Pan troglodytes (chimpanzee). RNAcentral describes it as "long non-coding RNA NONPTRT017035". The record is from RNAcentral. Lineage: Eukaryota; Metazoa; Chordata; Mammalia; Primates; Hominidae.